Molecule: ribosomal RNA, 2957 nt
Filed under: Capsicum baccatum
Lineage: Eukaryota; Viridiplantae; Streptophyta; Magnoliopsida; Solanales; Solanaceae
Description: bacterial LSU rRNA
Rfam family: Bacterial large subunit ribosomal RNA (bases 887-2748)
Source: RNAcentral
UUUCUAAUUUAUUCAAUCCUUAUCAAGGAUUCAACUCUAUAUUCAUAGUUUAUUCUUAUUCUAAAUUUUAUACACUUUUUUAUUCAAUUGAAGUAAAAUCCACAUGACAUAAAAAGAAGCUAUUUUUAAAUAAAUUAUUUACUUGACAUAAAUACAUGCGCAAAUUAGAAAUGUUAUUUGAACUUUUUUCCUUUCAUUAGAAGUCUUUUUAAUAGAUCAAAUUGUCUUUUCACUAUUUUUUUAAUUUUUAAAACUUAAAAUUUAUUUAAAUUUAAUAAUUAGACCUUUCCUAAUCUGAAUUAUAUACCUUAAAUUUAGGAUUUUAAAAUAAUCUCGAAAAAAAAUAAUCCACGUACAUUUAGUCCCCAGAAAAAAGAGAAGAAAUCAAUUACUAAGAAAUUACCUAAUUUCUUUAGAACACUUGCCAAAAAUUGUCUUCUAUUUUAGUCAAAAUCAAAUUCUACCCUUUAAAUGUUUUUUAAGUUUAUGAAUGUUUUUAUUUGUCUAUUUCAAAAAUUUUAUAAAAAGAGUUAUAAUUUCACCUUAAAUUUAGGACUUCAAAUACCAACACUCACCCCCACACCCCACACCCCAAAAAAACAUGUACAAAGCUUAAAGAAAAGGGAAGAAAAAAAUUACUAAGAAAUUACAUGAUUCCUUUAGAAAUCUUGCCAAAAUUGUCUCCUACUUUUAAUCUAAAUCAAAAAUCACCCUUUAAUUUUUUUGGUUUAUGAAUUCCUUGAUUUGUCUAUUGCAAAAUUUCUAUAAAAGGAAUUGGAAUUUUAAAUUCUUUUCAUUAAUUUUGUCUAGCUUUAUCAAGUUUUAUCUAUAUACAGAGUAACUUUAUUAGAGAAAGUGAACAAGAUAUAAUUGAAUUUUGUUUCAGUGUUUAAGCUACUCCUUAAAUCUUUCAACAUUCCCUCGACAUAUCCUAAGUUGAAAUUGAUAUGUUGAGCAUUGUCAUUCCAAUAUGCGAUUGAAUUAAAUUUCUUUGCAGCAGUUGUGAUGUGUGAUUUGCAACUAUUAUUUCUAUCCUGAAUGUCAGUAUUACGUGCUCUUUCUAAACUGACAGAAGAGUGUACAGCCACAUUGUGUUAUCAAUCGUAGUAGCUACCCUUAAAAGAAUACGUAAUAGUCCACUGAUUGAGCGCUCUUGCGUCGAAGAUGAACGGGGCUAAAGAUCUGCCUAAGUUGUGGGAUGUAAAAAUACAUCAGUAGGGGAGCAUUCCACCUUAGAAAGAAGCCUCCGCGCGAGCGGUGAUAGACGAAGCGAAAGAGAGAAUGUCGGCUUAAGUAACACAAACAUUGGUAAGAAUCCAAGGCCCCCAAAAUCUAAGGAUUCCUCCGCAAGGUCCAUCCAUGGAGGGUGAUUCAGGGCCUAAGAUCAUGCCAAAAGGCAUAGUCGAUGGACAACAGAUGAAUAUUUUUGUACCACCCCUUAUUGGUCCUGAGGGUCGUAGGAGGCUAGGUUAGCCGAAAGAUGGUUAUCGGUUCAAGAGCAUAAGGUGUCCCUGCCUUUUUUUAGGGUAAGAAAGGGUAGAGAAAAUGCCCUGAGCCAAUGUUCGAAUACCAAGCGCUAUGACGCAAAAGUAACCCAUUCCAUACUCCCAUGAAAAGUUUGAACGAUUUUGGACAAGAGUGUACCUGUACCCAAAAUCAAAAUAAAUGGAUAAGUAGAGAAUACUUAGGGCCGCGAGACAACUCUCUCUAAGGAACUGGACAAAUUAGCCCCGUAACUUCGGGAGAAGGGGUGCCUCCUCACAAAGAGAGUCUUAGUGACCAGGCCCGGACCACUGUUUACCUAAAACACAGGUCUCCAUAAAGUCGUAAGACUAUGUAUGGGGGAUGAAGCCUUCCUAAUGCCAGAAGGUCAACGAAGUUGGUGACCUGAUGACAGGGAAGCCGAUGAUUGGAACAACAGUCGUAACUAUAACGAUCCUAAGGUAGCAAAAUUUCUUAUCGGAUAAGUUUUGACCCACAUAAAAGGUGUAACGAUUUGGGCACUGUCUCAGAGAGAGGCUCAGUGAAAUACACAUGUCUAUAAAGAUGUAGACUACCUGCACCUAGACUGAAAGAUCCUAUAAAGCUUUACUAUUUCAUGGGAUUGGCUUUGGGCCUUUCCUGCGCAACUUAGGUGGAAGGCAAAAAAGGCCUCCUUCUAAGGUGGGUGGGGAGACGAGGCAUCAAUAAGAUACCACUCUGGAAGAAUUAGAAUUCUAACCUUAUGUCAAGACCAACGGGUCAAGGAAUAGUCUCAGUAGACAAUUUCUAUAGGCAGUAGGCCUCCCAAAAGGUAACGAAGGCAUGCAAAGAUUUCUUUGAACCGGACGAAGAUUGGACCUCGAGUGCAAAGGCAGAAGAGAGCUUAACUCUAAGACCCACCUGCCAAGCAGGGACAAAAGUUGGUCUUAGUGAUCUGAUGAUGCCGAGUGAAAGGAUCGUCACUCAACGGAUAAAAGUUACUCUAUGGAUAACAUGUUGAUCUUCCCCAAGAGCUCACAUUGACGAGAAGUUUUGCCACCUUGAUGUCGGCUAUUCACCACCUAGGGUUGUAGUAUGUUCUAAGGGUUUCACCCAUUAAAGCGGUACGUGAGCUGAGUUUAGAACGUCGUUAGACAGAUUGGGUAUGUGAAUCUUUUUACUAAUUUUGUACUUAAUAAAAUAUCAUGCACAGAAUAAUUUAUUUUUUAUAUACGUUUAUUCUUAAUUAACGGUUAAUACACGUGAAACGCACAUAUCCUAAACUUGUAGAAUAAAAAUAUAUAACUCACAUAUUAUGUGAGCUUUGUAAAAUAAAAAGAAAAAAUGACACUCUAUAGCACUUUUUAAAACAAAUAGCCUAAGUUUGAAAACAUUUCAAAAAAUGGCCAGUCGGAUAUACUAUUUUCGCUUUAUAGCCAUUCCUAUUUUUGGUUAUUUUAGCCUACGUAGUCCAUAUACAGUUCAUAUACAAUACU